Molecule: unclassified non-coding RNA, 205 nt
Filed under: Hevea brasiliensis (rubber tree)
Lineage: Eukaryota; Viridiplantae; Streptophyta; Magnoliopsida; Malpighiales; Euphorbiaceae
Source: RNAcentral
GAAAGAAUGUUUUCUAUUUAGCCUGAAAAACACUGAUAGGUAUUCUGAUGCAGCAGAUCCCUACAGAUUUCAGCAGACACUUGCAGAUCAGAUUCUCUUAAAGCUGCUGUGGCAUGAAUACCUAUUUUCUGUCAGCUCAAACAACCAGGAGAGGGUCUUUUCUUCUAUGGAUUUUUCUUCUGGUGGUAUUCAACCUUCUCAUCAG